Molecule: long non-coding RNA, 2650 nt
Organism: Callithrix jacchus (white-tufted-ear marmoset)
Lineage: Eukaryota; Metazoa; Chordata; Mammalia; Primates; Cebidae
Source: Ensembl
ACCUCUUAGAAAACUCUGUGCUUCAUACUGGGGCUAUUAUAUGUCUGUUCUAUGUCAAAUAAUGUGUUAGAUAAACGCCAGUCUUCAAUGAAAAUGAAUAGCACAGAUCUAUUUACUUAGCAUUAGCAUAGGUUAUUUCAGAGAUAUUUGCCUCCAGGAAAACCAAAAAAAGCCGUAAAAACAGCAUGAAGGCAGGAAAUUUAAAAAAAGUUCUGACAGAAGAAUGCUGAAACCUAGAUACAGAAUCUCCUACUUUCCUCAUCAGUGUUCCUGAUAAAAACAUUUUUGUGGUGGUGGGAAUGUUCACCAGGAAACUCGGUGAAGCCAAGAGAACUGGCCAUUGUUCCUGAGCUUAUUAAGAAGCCCCAAGACAGAGCUGGCUACAGGAAAGCUGCGGGGCGGGGGGUGGUGGGGGGGAGUAUUUCUCUAAGUUUAAGGAGAAAACCAGGGUUAGAUUGUGUAUUCGUUUUGCAUCACUGCAUAACAAAAUACCAUAAACACAGUGGCUUAAAACAACCCACAUUUAUUAUUUCCCAGUUUCUGUACGUCAGGAGUCCAAGUACUACCUAGCUAAGUUCUCUUCUCAGCGUCUCAUUAGGUUGCAUAGGUGCCAGCUGGAGCUUCAGUCUCAUCUGGAACUUGGAGUCCUAUUCCGGACUCCUGUAAAUUGUUGGCAGAAUUCAGGACUUUCUGGCUGUAGGACUGAGGCUCUUAGCUUCUUAGUGGCUGUCAGCUGGAGACUGCCUUCAGUUUCUCGAGGCCUCCAACAGUUUCCUGCCACAUGGCCCUCUCCACGGGCAGUUUGCAACACCACUGCUUGCACCUUCAAGGCCUGCAGGAGAGUGUUUCUCUCCAGUCUGCUAAGAUGGAAUCUUAUGCAAGCAGGUCAUAAAACCUAGGAUGGAUUUUCUGACCUUACCCUGAAGCAGUUCAUAAGACUCUCAGAUGAAUGAUGCCUGCAUUAUACCCAGAGGAAAGGAGCAUCCUUAUCUCUGAAGAUACAGGGACCCAGAAAAGAAUCUGAACAAACAGGCCUUCCUUGGUUUCCCCCAAUUUAUUAUAUUUCUCUCACUCCCCCGCUGCCCUUUGUUGUAUCGUAUUUCUUCAUGACUCUCAUUCUUCAUCAAAUCUACUAUAAAAACACUCAGGUUUAACUCUUUCUUCAGAUAUUUAUUUCCUUAUGAAGGCUCCUGUGUCACAUCAAACUUAUAUUAAAGAAAUCUGUAUGCUUUUCUCGUGUUAAUCUGUUUUUUGUUUUGUUUUGUUUCGUUUUUGUUUUUUGGUUUCAGGGGCCCCAUCUAUGAACCUAAGAUGGGUAGAAUGAAAGGUAUUUUCCUCCUCUACAUAGAUCAACUACCUAGCCACUAAAAUUAAUUUUGAGCCAGAUGCAGCAAAAUAAGUAAAUAAAUGAAAGAAUUAGCCUAUGUAACUUUAUCCUUGAUCAUGCAGGAUAAAAUAAUGUUCGUCUUGUAUAAUUUCUUAUGGAAAUAAGAUGCUUCUUUAUUUGGCAUGAUUAGCAAAUGUGUGCUACUUUUUCAAGAAUUCUGGCAUGUCACACAUGGAGUAGUAAUUUUCAAAACUUAUAACCUAAUAAAAUAUGAAUGACUAAAACAGUAAAAUAAAAUUUAUUCUUUUAAGAAUCAGAAGGUACAUGUCAUUGUAAUAAGCAUGAUGAACUGUAGCUACUAAUGGAAAGUUUAGAUGAAUGAAGGCUAGAUAAAAAUGACUUUUCAGAAAACAAGUACUCCCCACAAUUACUCAGGUUGGAAGGUAUUCAUUUUUACCCAUUUUUUUUUUUCAUGGAAGUUAAAAGUCCUAUAGUCAGAAUAGCCAGCCAUGAGAUACAGAGAAACUUGAAUUUCUAAGAUAAAUGAUGGGAUGAAUCCAUAUCAAGAUAUAAGUGCUCCAAUAUUUUUUAAAGUUUUAAAUAUUUACUGACCAAUUCAAAUCCAUUUGCUAAAAGUCCUUCCUCCUUAUCCUGUGUCAGCUAAAGGCUUUAAUCACUUAAUGGACACUAUUUUUGGUUUUACAAAGAGAUAACAUCUUUAAGGCAUGUGGUGAAAUUCUGGACUAGACUGGAAACACUCACAUGAGCUUUAGAAAUUUUACUUGGAUAUUGCCUUAGUCUGUUUUCUGCUGCGCUAACUGAAUAUCUAAGACUGAGUCGUUUCUUUUUUAAUAAAAGAAAAUGAUUUUGGACGGUUGUGGAGGCUGGGAGGACAAAAGGCAUGGUGGCAGUUUCUGGCAAAGGCUUUUAUAUUGCAUCACAACGUGGUGGAAAAGUGAAAGGGCAAGCAAAUGCGUGUGAAGGAGACAAAACACGAGGGCAGGCUCACUUUACAACAAUGCACUCUUAUGGUAACAAUCCCAUCCUGAGAGAGUAAGAACCCAUCCCUCAAGAGUUAACCCAGUCCCAUGAGAGCGAUAUUUAUCCCUCUUAAUGACUUAAUCACCUCUUAAAGGCCCCACCUCUUACUACUAUUACAUUAGGGAUUAAAUUUCAACAUGAAUUUUGGAGGGAACAGUCACACCAUAGCAGAUAUGCAUAUGAUAAAUAGUGGCACAUUAAAAUUAUGAAGAAACUACAGCCAUGACUGAGCAAUGCUUUUUAUGUAAUAUAGUCAGGAAAAAUAAAAAUAUUCAUGGCUAC